RNAcentral lists this transfer RNA (72 nucleotides) under Actinomycetes bacterium. Its description in RNAcentral is "Actinobacteria bacterium (groundwater metagenome) tRNA-Thr". It matches the Rfam family "tRNA". Rfam says of the family: Transfer RNA (tRNA) molecules are approximately 80 nucleotides in length. Their secondary structure includes four short double-helical elements and three loops (D, anti-codon, and T loops). Further hydrogen bonds mediate the characteristic L-shaped molecular structure. tRNAs have two regions of fundamental functional importance: the anti-codon, which is responsible for specific mRNA codon recognition, and the 3' end, to which the tRNAs corresponding amino acid is attached (by aminoacyl-tRNA synthetases). tRNAs cope with the degeneracy of the genetic code in two manners: having more than one tRNA (with a specific anti-codon) for a particular amino acid; and 'wobble' base-pairing, i.e. permitting non-standard base-pairing at the 3rd anti-codon position. Lineage: Bacteria; Bacillati; Actinomycetota; Actinomycetes. RNAcentral also lists the same sequence under 2 other names. The record is from RNAcentral.
GCCGGGUUAGCUCAGCGGUAGAGCUCCUGUCUUGUAAACAGGUGGUCGUCGGUUCGACUCCGACACCCGGCU